GAGGGUGCAAGCGUUAUCCGGUUUUAUUGGGUUUAAAGGGUGCGUAGGCUGUUCGGUAAGUCAGCGGUGAAAUUUCCGGGCUCAACCCGGGACUUGCCGUUGAUACUGCCGGGCUGGAAUGCGGAUGCCGCCGGAGGAAUGUGUGGUGUAGCGGUGAAAUGCAUAGAUAUCACACAGAACACCGAUUGCGAAGGCAUCUGGCGAAUCCGCUAUUGACGCUGAAGCACGAAAGCGCGGGGAUCAAA
RNAcentral lists this ribosomal RNA (245 nucleotides) under uncultured bacterium. RNAcentral's name for it is "partial 16S ribosomal RNA". It matches the Rfam family "Bacterial small subunit ribosomal RNA", at positions 528 to 772 of the family's 1533-position model. The record is from RNAcentral.